CAUUGACAAGACAUUCGCGUGACCGCUACAACAAUGGAAAUUCCUGUCCUCAAAGAUGGAAGGCAGGCGGGAGAAGGUGAAAUCAGGAUGUUGCAGCAACUGCAAGCAAACACUCAGGCAAGUGCACUGCAGUCUGGAUGUAUACCACAAACUGUCAGAACCAAGAUCAGAGAAACUAAACAGGACGUCUCUGUCUGAAGCCUGUCGCAUG
Oncorhynchus nerka (sockeye salmon) is the source of this 211-nucleotide long non-coding RNA. RefSeq lists it as uncharacterized. The record is from RefSeq and is a predicted model, not a curated record. NCBI's taxonomy places the organism in Eukaryota, Metazoa, Chordata, Actinopteri, Salmoniformes, Salmonidae. The transcript has 2 exons.